Molecule: ribosomal RNA, 598 nt
Filed under: uncultured bacterium
Lineage: Bacteria
Description: bacterial SSU rRNA
Rfam family: Bacterial small subunit ribosomal RNA
Source: RNAcentral
CCUACGGGAGGCAGCAGUAGGGAAUUUUCCGCAAUGGGCGAAAGCCUGACGGAGCAAUACCGCGUGAGGGAUGACGGCCUGUGGGUUGUAAACCUCUUUUCUCAAGGAAGAAGUUCUGACGGUACUUGAGGAAUAAGCAUCGGCUAACUCUGUGCCAGCAGCCGCGGUAAUACAGAGGAUGCAAGCGUUAUCCGGAAUCACUGGGCAUAAAGCGUCUGUAGGUUGUUUAGUAAGUCUGCUGUUAAAGACUGGGGCUUAACCCCAGAAAAGCAGUGGAAACUGCUAGACUCGAGUGUGGUAGAGGUAGAGGGAAUUCCUAGUGUAGCGGUGAAAUGCGUAGAUAUUAGGAAGAACACCAAUGGCGAAGGCACUCUACUGGGCCAUAACUGACACUGAGAGACGACAGCUAGGGGAGCAAACGGGAUUAGAUACCCCGGUAGUCCUAGCCGUAAACGAUGGAUACUAGAUGUUGCACGUAUUAACCCGUGCAGUAUCGUAGCUAAGGCGUUAAGUAUCCCGCCUGGGAAGUACGCUCGCAAGNGUGAAACCCAAUGAAUUGACGGCNGAGACGNGCGACGACGACGACGAGGGAGGUAGG